Molecule: non-coding RNA, 447 nt
Organism: Peromyscus maniculatus bairdii (prairie deer mouse)
Lineage: Eukaryota; Metazoa; Chordata; Mammalia; Rodentia; Cricetidae
Source: RefSeq, a predicted model, not a curated record
ACAAGUCAAACAGCCUUCCACUGCCUUUAUUUUUUCGUGUGUGUGUGUGUGUGUGUGUGUGUGUGUGUGUGUUCGCGUGUGUGCAUGCGCGCGCGCCUCUCUUGCGCACACACAUUCCUCAGCUGUCCGAUUUUUAUAUUAUCUUAUUUUAUGUUAUCUAGCCCUGUCCUGGAAACACAUAACUCGCAAAGAACAGGCUGGCCUCCAAAUCACUCACUCAAUCUUGCUGGAUUAAAGGCUGGAUCCACCAUCCACCUGCCAGUCUGGAUUGACUGCAACUGCCGUCCUUCCCCAAGUCACGAAUCCCACACCUACAAAAGAAGAAAUUUAGGAAGACAUCUUUUCCCCUCCAACCCAUGCCCUCUUCCACGGUAUACUUAAAUAAAUAAAUAAAUAAAUAAAUAAAUAAAUAAAUAAAUAAAUAAAUAAAUCAACGAAUGAAAAGUU